UUCACGUUGAUAAUCUGCCCUACGGUUCGGCAUAGCCUUGAGAAAUUGAGGGUAAAUCCGAAUAGGAGAUUGAGGCUGGAACGCACUUUCUCCGAAACAUUAGGCCGUAGGAUGAGUCAGCGGCUGAUUAGAUUGUUGGUGAGGUAAUGGCUCACCAAGUCUGCGAUCAGUAGGGGAGAUGAGAGUCUUAGCCCCGAGAAGGACACGGAGGUACUGGUCCUAGUCCUAAGGGAUGCAGCAGUCACGGAACCUUUACAAUGCACGAAAGUGUGAUAGGGGAAUUCCAAGUGCUUUACCAAUGGUAAGGCUUUUGUUAAGUGUAAGGAGCUUGACGAAUAAGUGGUGGGCAAGACCGGUGCCAGCCGCCGCGGUAACACCGGCGCCACGAGUGGUGAUCAUUUUUAUUGGGUCUAAAGCGUCCGUAGCUUGUUUAGUAAAUUCUUUGUGAAAUUGUUGGGCUUAACUUAACAACUUGCAAAGAAGACUGCUUAACUUGAGACCGGGAGGGGACAGAGGUAUUCCAUGGGGAGCGGUAAAAUGCUAUAAUCCUUGGAGGACCACCAGUGGCGAAGGCUUCUGUCCAGAACGGGUCUGACGGUGAGGGACGAAGGCUAGGG
RNAcentral lists this ribosomal RNA (617 nucleotides) under uncultured archaeon. RNAcentral's name for it is "bacterial SSU rRNA". It matches the Rfam family "Archaeal small subunit ribosomal RNA", at positions 95 to 716 of the family's 1478-position model. The record is from RNAcentral.